RNAcentral lists this ribosomal RNA (383 nucleotides) under Morganella sp. (in: enterobacteria). RNAcentral's name for it is "bacterial SSU rRNA". It matches the Rfam family "Bacterial small subunit ribosomal RNA", at positions 376 to 752 of the family's 1533-position model. Lineage: Bacteria; Pseudomonadati; Pseudomonadota; Gammaproteobacteria; Enterobacterales; Morganellaceae. The record is from RNAcentral.
CGCAGCCUGAUGCAGCCAUGCCGCGUGUAUGAAGAAGGCCUUCGGGUUGUAAAGUACUUUCAGUCGGGAGGAAGGUGUUAAGGUUAAUAACCUUGACAAUUGACGUUACCGACAGAAGAAGCACCGGCUAACUCCGUGCCAGCAGCCGCGGUAAUACGGAGGGUGCAAGCGUUAAUCGGAAUUACUGGGCGUAAAGCGCACGCAGGCGGUUGAUUGAGUCAGAUGUGAAAUCCCCGGGCUUAACCCGGGAAUUGCAUCUGAUACUGGUCAGCUAGAGUCUUGUAGAGGGGGGUAGAAUUCCAUGUGUACCGGUGAAAUGCGUAGAGAUGUGUAGGAAUAUUGGUGGCGAACGCCGCCCCCUCGACAAAUAAUUAUCCUCAGGU